AACUCGUAAUGAAAAGGAAAAAAAGUAUGACGAAGUCGUCGAAAAAGUAGAUGCUGGAAUAUGAGUAAAAACGUGUGUUUGAUUGAUUGAUCGCUCCUCAUUACAAGGCCCUAGGGUCUAUAUUUAUACCGUGCUCAAAGAGUUACAACCAGACACGACUAGAAUUCGAAUUCCAAAUUACAUAGAAUCCGUAUACAAAACGAUUUAAAUAACUAAAGAAAACAUAAAGCUAUCCCCCCGUGACAAAUCGGAACAUCUCCACAAACCAAUCGGCAACUCCCGGACCCUCCUUCCGUGUCAUCAACAGACUCCCUUGUUAUAAUCAUCGGCAGACUUCCUUGUCGUAGCCAUCGGCACAGACAAAUCACCAUCUACAGACUUAGUCACGUUCAAUCUCUCCUUCAUCGGCAACCACCCUGUAGAUAAAACACCGUCGUCCUAUUCUGC
RNAcentral lists this long non-coding RNA (447 nucleotides) under Sorghum bicolor (sorghum). Its description in RNAcentral is "long non-coding RNA (SBIC_LNC012545)". Lineage: Eukaryota; Viridiplantae; Streptophyta; Magnoliopsida; Poales; Poaceae. The record is from RNAcentral.